GAGUUUGAUCAUGGCUCAGGAUUAACGCUGGCGGCAUGCCUAAUACAUGCAAGUCGAACGGAGUAGCAAUACUUAGUGGCGAACGGGUGAGUAACACGUAUCUAAUCUACCAUUUAGUGGGGAAUAACUGUUGGAAACGACAGCUAAUACCGCAUAAUAUUGCUGGAUAAUUUCCAGUAAUGAAAGGAGCUUUCAAGCUCCGCUGAUUGAUGAGGAUGCGGCGCAUUAGCUAGUUGGUAGGGUAAUGGCCUACCAAAGCAAUGAUGCGUAGCCGAUCUGAGAGGAUGAACGGCCACAUUGGGACUGAGACACAGCCCAAACUUCUACGGAAGGCAGCAGUAGGGAAUUUUUCACAAUGGGCGAAAGCCUGAUGGAGCAAUGCCGCGUGACUGAUGAAGGUCUUCGGAUUGUAAAGGUCUGUUGUAAGGGAAGAAAUGGUAAAACAGGAAAUGGUUUUAUCUAUGACGGUACCUUACCAGAAAGCCACGGCUAACUAUGUGCCAGCAGCCGCGGUAAUACAUAGGUGGCAAGCGUUAUCCGGAUUUAUUGGGCGUAAAGGGUGCGUAGACGGUUUUGCAAGUCUGAGGUUAAAUUUAGGAGCUCAACUCCUAAUCGCCUUGGAAACUACAAGACUAGAGUAUAGGAGAGGUUAGUGGAAUUCCAUGUGUAGCGGUGGAAUGUGUAGAUAUAUGGAGGAACACCAGUGGCGAAC
RNAcentral lists this ribosomal RNA (712 nucleotides) under uncultured Spiroplasma sp. Its description in RNAcentral is "bacterial SSU rRNA". It matches the Rfam family "Bacterial small subunit ribosomal RNA", at positions 9 to 720 of the family's 1533-position model. Lineage: Bacteria; Bacillati; Mycoplasmatota; Mollicutes; Entomoplasmatales; Spiroplasmataceae. The record is from RNAcentral.